GGCGAGUGAAGCGGCAAAAGCUCAAAUUUGAAAUCCUGCGGGAGUUGUAAUUUGAAGGUUUCGGGUUCUGAGGCUGUGCGCGCCCAAGUCCAUUGGAACAUGGCGCCUGGGAGGGUGAGAGCCCCGUCCGGCGCGGCGCAGUCUUGUUGCGACCCGAUUCCGACGAGUCGAGUUGUUUGGGAAUGCAGCUCAAAGUGGGUGGUAAAUUCCAUCUAAAGCUAAAUAUUGGCGAGAGACCGAUAGCGAACAAGUACAGUGAUGGAAAGAUGAAAAGCACUUUGAAAAGAGAGUGAAACAGUACGUGAAAUUGUUGAAAGGGAAGGGCUUGCAAGCAGACACGGCCUCGGCCGGGCCAGCAUCGGUUUGCUGGGGUGGACAAUGCGGCGGGAAUGUGGCGCGUCUCCUUGUGGGGCGCGUGUUUAUAGCCCG
This 429-nucleotide ribosomal RNA is filed under the name Clavispora sp. RNAcentral describes it as "LSU rRNA". It matches the Rfam family "Eukaryotic large subunit ribosomal RNA", at positions 88 to 534 of the family's 3401-position model. Lineage: Eukaryota; Fungi; Ascomycota; Pichiomycetes; Serinales; Metschnikowiaceae. The record is from RNAcentral.